This 579-nucleotide ribosomal RNA is filed under the name uncultured bacterium. RNAcentral describes it as "bacterial SSU rRNA". It matches the Rfam family "Bacterial small subunit ribosomal RNA", at positions 338 to 916 of the family's 1533-position model. The record is from RNAcentral.
CCUACGGGAGGCAGCAGUAAGGAAUAUUGGUCAAUGGAGGCAACUCUGAACCAGCCAUGCCGCGUGCAGGAAGACUGCCCUAUGGGUUGUAAACUGCUUUUAUACGGGAAUAAACCUUGAUUCGUGAAUCGAGCUGAAUGUACCGUAAGAAUAAGGAUCGGCUAACUCCGUGCCAGCAGCCGCGGUAAUACGGAGGAUCCAAGCGUUAUCCGGAUUUAUUGGGUUUAAAGGGAGCGUAGGCGGCCUAUUAAGUCAGGGGUGAAAGACGGUGGCUCAACCAUCGCAGUGCCUUUGAUACUGGUAGGCUUGAAUGUAAUUGAGGUAGGCGGAAUGUGACAAGUAGCGGUGAAAUGCAUAGAUAUGUCACAGAACACCGAUUGCGAAGGCAGCUUACUAAGCUAUGAUUGACGCUGAGGCUCGAAAGCGUGGGGAUCAAACAGGAUUAGAUACCCUGGUAGUCCACGCCCUAAACGAUGAUAACUCGAUGUUGGCGAUAUACAGUCAGCGUCCAAGCGAAAGCGUUAAGUUAUCCACCUGGGGAGUACGCCCGCAAGGGUGAAACGUUAAAGGAAUUGACGG